ACCUCCACGUUGGAGAAGCAGGGCACGUGCAAACCAACAAACACGAGAUCUAUCUCAUGUAAUUUGCACGUGCUCCACUCCUCCAACAUGAGCUC
Molecule: microRNA precursor, 95 nt
Filed under: Brassica napus (rape)
Lineage: Eukaryota; Viridiplantae; Streptophyta; Magnoliopsida; Brassicales; Brassicaceae
Also listed under: 1 other name
Description: brassica napus miR164a stem-loop
Rfam family: MIR164 microRNA precursor family
Source: RNAcentral